GUUAGGAAUAUUGGACAAUGGGCGCAAGCCUGAUCCAGCCAUGCCGCGUGAGUGAUGAAGGCCUUCGGGUUGUAAAGCUCUUUAGCCGAUGAUUAUAAUGACUGUAGUCGGAAAAUAAGCCCCGGCUAACUUCGUGCCAGCAGCCGCGGUAAUACGAAGGGGGCGAGCGUUAUUCGGAAUCACUGGGCGUAAAGCGUGCGUAGGCGGCUUUGCAAGUUGGGAGUGAAAGCCCAGGGCUCAACCCUGGAAUUGCUCUCAAAACUGGAAGGGUCGAAUUCGGGAGAGGAUAGCGGAAUUGUCAGUGUAGCAGUGAAAUGCGUAGAUAUUGACAGAAACACCAGUGGCGUAAGCGGCUAUCUGGACCGAUUUUGACGCUGAGGCACGAAAGCGUGGGGAUCAAACAGGAUUAGAUACCCCAGUAGUCC
RNAcentral lists this ribosomal RNA (425 nucleotides) under uncultured bacterium. Its description in RNAcentral is "bacterial SSU rRNA". It matches the Rfam family "Bacterial small subunit ribosomal RNA", at positions 354 to 796 of the family's 1533-position model. The record is from RNAcentral.